RNAcentral lists this ribosomal RNA (415 nucleotides) under Xanthomonas axonopodis. Its description in RNAcentral is "bacterial LSU rRNA". It matches the Rfam family "Bacterial large subunit ribosomal RNA", at positions 4 to 472 of the family's 2925-position model. The record is from RNAcentral. Lineage: Bacteria; Pseudomonadati; Pseudomonadota; Gammaproteobacteria; Lysobacterales; Lysobacteraceae.
CAAGCGAAUAAGCGCACACGGUGGAUGCCUAGGCGGUCAGAGGCGAUGAAGGACGUGGUAGCCUGCGAAAAGUGUCGGGGAGCUGGCAACAAGCUUUGAUCCGGCAAUAUCCGAAUGGGGAAACCCACUGCUUCGGCAGUAUCCUGCAGUGAAUUCAUAGCUGCUGGAAGCGAACCCGGUGAACUGAAAUAUCUAAGUAACCGGAGGAAAAGAAAUCAACCGAGAUUCCCUAAGUAGUGACGAGCGAACGGGGAGCAGCCCUUAAGCUGGAAUGGCUUUAGAAAAACAAUCUGGAAAGAUUGGCCAUAGAAGGUGAUAGCCCUGUAUUUAAAAGGGCCACUCCAGUGAAGACGAGUAGGGCGGGGCACGUGAAACCCUGUCUGAAUAUGGGGGGACCAUCCUCCAAGGCUAACUG